AUGCAAGUCGAGGGGCAGCACGGUGUAGCAAUACACUGGUGGCGACCGGCGCACGGGUGCGUAACGCGUAUGCAACCUACCCAUAACAGGGGGAUAACCGGGAGAAAUUCCGACUAAUACCGCAUACGUCCUCCGGGGGCAUCCCCGGGGGAUGAAAGAGUUAUCGGUGAAGGAUGGGCAUGCGUGAUAUUAGGUAGUUGGCGGGGCAACGGCCCACCAAGCCUACGAUAUCUAGGGGUUCUGAGAGGAAGGUCCCCACAUUGGUACUGAGACACGGACCAAACUCC
Molecule: ribosomal RNA, 287 nt
Filed under: uncultured Bacteroidota bacterium
Lineage: Bacteria; Pseudomonadati; Bacteroidota
Description: uncultured Bacteroidetes bacterium partial 16S ribosomal RNA
Rfam family: Bacterial small subunit ribosomal RNA
Source: RNAcentral